CUAGUUGGUAGGGUAAAGGCCUACCAAGGCGACGAUCUUUAGCUGGUCUGAGAGGAUGAUCAGCCACAUUGGGACUGAGACACGGCCCAAACUCCUACGGGAGGCAGCAGUGGGGAAUAUUGGACAAUGGGGGCAACCCUGAUCCAGCAAUACCGCGUGUGUGAAGAAGGCCUGAGGGUUGUAAAGCACUUUCAAUUGUGAAGAAAAGCUAGCGGUUAAUAGCCGUUAGCCUUGACGUUAACUUUAGAAGAAGCACCGGCUAACUCCGUGCCAGCAGCCGCGGUAAUACGGAGGGUGCAAGCGUUAAUCGGAAUUACUGGGCGUAAAGCGUGCGUAGGCGGUUUAUUAAGUCAGAUGUGAAAGCCCCGGGCUUAACCUGGGAACUGCAUUUGAAACUGGUCAACUAGAGUAUGGUAGAGGAAAGUGGAAUUUCUGGUGUAGCGGUGAAAUGCGUAGAUAUCAGAAGGAACAUCAAUGGCGAAGGCAACUUUCUGGACCAAUACUGACGCUGAGGUACGAAAGCGUGGGUAGCAAACAGGAUUAGAUACCCUGGUAGUCCACGCCGUAAACGAUGAUAACUAGCCGUUGGGGGGAUUUACCCCUUAGUGGCGAAGCUAACGCGUUAAGUUAUCCGCCUGGGGAGUACGGCCGCAAGGUUAAAACUCAAAUGAAUUGACGGGGACCCGCACAAGCGGUGGAGCAUGUGGUUUAAUUCGAUGCAACGCGAAGAACCUUACCUGGUCUUGACAUCCUGCGAACUUUCUAGAGAUAGAUUGGUGCCUUCGGGAACUCAGUGACAGGUGCUGCAUGGCUGUCG
RNAcentral lists this ribosomal RNA (817 nucleotides) under marine metagenome. Its description in RNAcentral is "bacterial SSU rRNA". It matches the Rfam family "Bacterial small subunit ribosomal RNA", at positions 245 to 1054 of the family's 1533-position model. The record is from RNAcentral.